This 26-nucleotide non-coding RNA is filed under the name Drosophila erecta. Lineage: Eukaryota; Metazoa; Arthropoda; Insecta; Diptera; Drosophilidae. The record is from RNAcentral. RNAcentral also lists the same sequence under 1 other name.
UGCUGAUCAGACAAACUACCAUUGGG